UCCCGGAUAAAUAAGGCCACAGAUGGGCGUGCGCUUCACGAGUGCUAUCGAUGCCAAGCACUGGGCAGAUGCAAUCGUGGUUAAAUUAUCAGAAGCUAAGGCCACUGAAAGGCUCCAAUUCAGGCACUGAGGCUCCAAUAUUUAAACAGCUCCUCUUCUGAUGACACCACAGACAGUCUGACCGUCUCUUCUAUUCGCUCCCGCAAACGGAAUUAAACAUCCAUUGGAACACUCCAUCCUAAAGGGGGAAUUGGGGCUUCUCAGACCCUGCAGUAUCAAAGAAAGUUUACAACCGUGCUAAGAGUGUUUCAGGGCCACGGAAGGGUGUGAGGAGGGAAGAAUGAUUCCACCGGAGAAGGGGGCGAUUCUCGGGGAGAUGGUAGGUGAAUCGGAGAGAGGGCGAAUUUCCAAACUGAGGUAACUGCUCAUGCUACUGAGAUUUUGACCCAGUUUCAAAGACCAAGGAUGGAGAGCACCAG
Molecule: long non-coding RNA, 479 nt
Organism: Tachyglossus aculeatus (Australian echidna)
Lineage: Eukaryota; Metazoa; Chordata; Mammalia; Monotremata; Tachyglossidae
Exons: 4
Source: RefSeq, a predicted model, not a curated record